Molecule: ribosomal RNA, 1420 nt
Filed under: uncultured bacterium
Lineage: Bacteria
Description: bacterial SSU rRNA
Rfam family: Bacterial small subunit ribosomal RNA
Source: RNAcentral
CUGGCUCAGGAUGAACGCCGGCGGUGUGCCUAAUACAUGCAAGUCGUACGCACUGGCCCAACUAAUUGAUGGUGCUUGCACCUGAUUGACGAUGGAUCACCAGUGAGUGGCGGACGGGUGAGUAACACGUAGGUAACCUGCCCCGGAGCGGGGGAUAACAUUUGGAAACAGAUGCUAAUACCGCAUAACAACAAAAGCCACAUGGCUUUUGUUUGAAAGAUGGCUUUGGCUAUCACUCUGGGAUGGACCUGCGGUGCAUUAGCUAGUUAGUAAGGUAACGGCUUACCAAGGCGAUGAUGCAUAGCCGAGUUGAGAGACUGAUCGGCCACAAUGGAACUGAGACACGGUCCAUACUCCUACGGGAGGCAGCAGUAGGGAAUCUUCCACAAUGGGCGCAAGCCUGAUGGAGCAACACCGCGUGAGUGAAGAAGGGUUUCGGCUCGUAAAGCUCUGUUGUUGGAGAAGAACGUGCGUGAGAGUAACUGUUCACGCAGUGACGGUAUCCAACCAGAAAGUCACGGCUAACUACGUGCCAGCAGCCGCGGUAAUACGUAGGUGGCAAGCGUUAUCCGGAUUUAUUGGGCGUAAAGCGAGCGCAGGCGGUUGCUUAGGUCUGAUGUGAAAGCCUUCGGCUUAACCGAAGAAGUGCAUCGGAAACCGGGCGACUUGAGUGCAGAAGAGGACAGUGGAACUCCAUGUGUAGCGGUGGAAUGCGUAGAUAUAUGGAAGAACACCAGUGGCGAAGGCGGCUGUCUGGUCUGCAACUGACGCUGAGGCUCGAAAGCAUGGGUAGCGAACAGGAUUAGAUACCCUGGUAGUCCAUGCCGUAAACGAUGAGUGCUAGGUGUUGGAGGGUUUCCGCCCUUCAGUGCCGGAGCUAACGCAUUAAGCACUCCGCCUGGGGAGUACGACCGCAAGGUUGAAACUCAAAGGAAUUGACGGGGGCCCGCACAAGCGGUGGAGCAUGUGGUUUAAUUCGAAGCUACGCGAAGAACCUUACCAGGUCUUGACAUCUUGCGCUAACCUUAGAGAUAAGGCGUUCCCUUCGGGGACGCAAUGACAGGUGGUGCAUGGUCGUCGUCAGCUCGUGUCGUGAGAUGUUGGGUUAAGUCCCGCAACGAGCGCAACCCUUGUUACUAGUUGCCAGCAUUAAGUUGGGCACUCUAGUGAGACUGCCGGUGACAAACCGGAGGAAGGUGGGGACGACGUCAGAUCAUCAUGCCCCUUAUGACCUGGGCUACACACGUGCUACAAUGGACGGUACAACGAGUCGCAAGCUCGCGAGAGUAAGCUAAUCUCUUAAAGCCGUUCUCAGUUCGGACUGUAGGCUGCAACUCGCCUACACGAAGUCGGAAUCGCUAGUAAUCGCGGAUCAGCAUGCCGCGGUGAAUACGUUCCCGGGCCUUGCACACACCGCCCA